This 84-nucleotide transfer RNA is filed under the name Nautilia sp. RNAcentral describes it as "tRNA-Leu". It matches the Rfam family "tRNA". From Rfam's summary of the family: Transfer RNA (tRNA) molecules are approximately 80 nucleotides in length. Their secondary structure includes four short double-helical elements and three loops (D, anti-codon, and T loops). Lineage: Bacteria; Pseudomonadati; Campylobacterota; Epsilonproteobacteria; Nautiliales; Nautiliaceae. The record is from RNAcentral.
GCGGACGUGGCGGAACUGGCAGACGCGCUAGACUUAGGAUCUAGUGUCUUUGACGUGGAGGUUCAAGUCCUCUCGUCCGCACCA